AUGUUAAUAGACCAGCAACGUGCUAGGAGGCCAACGGAGCAUUACCUGGUGUUGACGGGAGCAUUACCUGGUGUUGACCGGCUGGCAAAUGACAUUUAUUCCUUAAUGUUUUGGCCCGGAAACAGAGGUAACCCUCCAAACAGUGCCCUGAUAGUCAUUUAUUCCUUAAUGUUUUGGCCUGGGAACAAGUUUAGUUGCAACUUUUUUGCUAUCAUGUUUCUCAAAUUUCGUUCACUAGGAUUCCUUUCUUAUUAUCAUCUUCCAAAUAUUUUUUUGUCACUACAUGAAUUCAGCUCUAUUUCUAUCGUGUCUCCUUUUCACAUGUUUGCAUCCAGCUGA
RNAcentral lists this ribosomal RNA (339 nucleotides) under Triticum aestivum (bread wheat). RNAcentral's name for it is "partial small subunit ribosomal RNA". Lineage: Eukaryota; Viridiplantae; Streptophyta; Magnoliopsida; Poales; Poaceae. The record is from RNAcentral.